This 320-nucleotide ribosomal RNA is filed under the name uncultured eukaryote. RNAcentral's name for it is "partial 18S ribosomal RNA". It matches the Rfam family "Eukaryotic small subunit ribosomal RNA", at positions 1470 to 1797 of the family's 1831-position model. The record is from RNAcentral.
CCCUUAGAUGUUCUGGGCAGCACGCGCGCUACAAUGGUCUUCGCAAACGGAUGCAUUCUCGAAGGAGAAUGCCAAUCUUGGAAUCUAUGCCUUGGUCGGGACAGUUGCUUGCAAUUUUUCGACUCGAACCAGGAAUUCCUUGUAAUCGUGAUUCAUCACAUCACGAUGAAUACGUCCCUGCCCUUUGUACACACCGCCCGUCGCUCCUACCGAUCGAAGAGUUAGGUGAAUUGUUUUGAUCGAUAAGAUUUGACUAUGGUCAACUCUCGUUGUGAAAUUCUGUGAAUCUGACUGUUUAGAGGAAGGAAAAGUCGUAACAA